GCCAGAGAGACGCCAGUACUGCGCCGACCGGCCUCUGGCCGCUGAGGGGCCGCCGAGGAAGGGUCACAGUUCCUGUACCACACCCAUGAGAUGAGACUUCGGGAACAGCUGCAAGAGUUAGCCUGCCUGUUAUUCUCCCUGCUCCUCCCACAGGUGCACCACCCUCUGGACACUGCACUUAGCAGCCUUGGUGAUUGAACAGGCCAGAGUCCAGCUGCAGGUGAAUUCCAGGACCCAGAGGAGGCCUGCCAGGGUAGAUCAGUUCCUUACGAGGCUGAUUCCUUGCUUCAGGGGGAGCAGCAACCCACAUUUGCACGCCCCAGGCAUGCACGAUGCCGAUAGUUGAUAAGUUGAAGGAGGCGCUGAAGCCUGGCCGCAAGGACUCUGCUGAGGAUGUAGAGCUGGGGAAGCUCCUGGCUGCCUCAGCCAAGAAGGUUCUCUUGCAGAAGAUUGAGUUCGAGCCCGCCAGCAAGAGCUUCUCCUACCAGCUGGAGUCCUUGAAGAGCAAAUAUGUGCUGCUGAACCCCAGGACAGAGGGAGCCAGUCGCCCUAAGAGUGGAGAUGAACCACAAGCCAAGAGACAGGGUACAGGCAGUGAGCGCUUCUUUGGAAGCAACAGCGAUGGUGUCCCAGCACCACAGAAAGUGCUUUUUCCCACAGAGCGGCUCUCUUUGAGGUGGGAGCGUGUUUUUAGAGUUGGCGCAGGGCUGCACAACCUGGGCAACACCUGUUUCUUGAAUGCCACAGUACAGUGCCUGACCUACACACCACCUUUGGCCAACUAUCUGCUCUCCCGAGAACAUGCAAGGAGCUGUCACCAAGGAAGCUUUUGCAUGUUGUGUGUCAUGCAGAACCACAUCGUCCAGGCCUUUGCCAACAGUGGUAAUGCCAUCAAGCCAGUCUCCUUCAUCCGAGACCUAAAAAAGAUUGCCCGCCACUUCCGCUUUGGGAACCAAGAGGAUGCACAUGAGUUUCUCCGGUACACUAUCGAUGCCAUGCAGAAGGCCUGUCUGAACGGCUAUGCCAAGUUGGAUCGUCAGACACAGGCAACCACCUUGGUGCAUCAGAUUUUUGGAGGCUAUCUCAGAUCACGAGUGAAGUGCUCCGUGUGCAAGAGCGUCUCAGACACCUACGACCCCUACCUGGAUGUGGCGCUAGAGAUUCGGCAAGCUGCAAAUAUUGUGCGUGCUCUGGAACUUUUUGUGAAACCGGAUGUCCUGAGUGGAGAGAAUGCCUAUAUGUGUGCCAAAUGCAAGAAAAAGGUUCCAGCCAGCAAGCGCUUCACCAUCCACAGAACAUCCAAUGUCUUAACCCUCUCCCUCAAGCGCUUUGCCAACUUCAGUGGGGGAAAGAUCACCAAGGAUGUAGGCUAUCCAGAAUUCCUGAACAUCCGUCCAUAUAUGUCUCAGAGUAAUGGCGACCCUGUCAUGUACGGACUGUAUGCUGUGCUGGUCCACUCGGGCUACAGCUGCCAUGCUGGGCACUACUACUGCUAUGUGAAGGCAAGCAAUGGACAGUGGUACCAGAUGAACGACUCCCUGGUUCACUCCAGCAACAUCAAAGUGGUUCUGAACCAGCAGGCGUAUGUGCUCUUCUACUUGCGAAUUCCAGGCUCUAAGAAGAGUCCAGAGGGCCCUAUCUCCAGGGCAAGUUCUGUCCUUCCUAGUCGCCAGAGUGUGGUUCCAGAUCACACCAAGAAAAGUGCUGGCAAUGGGAUCACUUCCUCUCCCACAACUACAAAGCUACAAGGCCCUGUGACCAUGAGGAAGCCGCAGGCCCCUGAGGAAAUUGGUGUGCCUGUUUCCAGGAAUGGCUCCCUGCAAGGCCCAAAGUUACAGAAUGGAUGUGUGCCUGCAAAGUCACCCUUGGGGUCCCCUCCUCCCAGAUUGGCCCACACGCCCACACAUGGGCCAACCCUCCUGAAUGAGAACGGGAAGAAAGUGAAGAAGCAGGUCCCCUCGCAGCACUGUUCCCCUUCCCUCCGAACUUCUCAGGGCUCACCUGGUACCAGCGAACCUGGGAGCCGACGGCAGAGCUCCUGGGACAGCAGGGACAUUGUCCCCUCUACCUCACUAAAGCUCCUGGCUGAGACCACUGCCAGUGGGCAUGGCUUGAAGGGGGAAGACAAGAUUGCAGACCUUGAGAAGGAGACUUCCAGCAGCUCCAGCCCGGAGCACUCUUCUAGCAGCAGCCCUAAGGUCCCACAGGCCUCCGGGGGUGGAGCUGCCCAUGAUUCUCAGGGAACAAAGUGUCCCACCUCUGGUCACUCCAAAAUGCUGCCCAAUGGGUUGGAUUCUAAGAUGGUGAAGCUCAAGUUUCCUGUCCUGGGCAGCACUGCCAUCGAGCCCAUGAGCCUCAUGUCUCCUCCACCAGCCAAGAAACUGGCCCUGUCUGCCAAGAAGGCCAGCACCCUGCGGAGGGCGACCGGCAAUGACCUCCGUUCACCUCCGCCCUCACCACUCUCCGACCUCACCUACCCCAUGACAGCCACUCACCCCGUCGUUGCCUCCACUUGGCCUUUCAGUAAAUCCAGGGCUCUCUCACCUGCUCCCCGAUCAUCCAGCUGUCCGAAGCCUCCUGUCAGCACUCCCUCUGCAUCACUGUCCAGUAGUAUUCCCCAAACCCCACAGAUACCAGAGCCACAGAGCUGCUCUUCCACCCGGACUUCCCUGCCUCAGGUCACUGGGGACUUGGCAUCCCCUUCACACCAGCCCCUGGAAGCCAGCGAGGCCUCUCAGAGCCCCUCUAGGAAGAGGCACAGGAGCCCUGGGGGAAAGCCUCAGAUGCUUGGCUCAGAAGCAUGUAUCUCGCAGCUCCUGGGGGGGGCAAACGCAGUGCCUCGUAAGAAGAGGAAGAGGAAGAAGAGGAAGGGCCCAGAGAGCCUGGCAAUGGCCAUUCCUCAGGAGCAGAUGCAGGGGCCACCUUGGAGCCCCAAGAACAAGAAGGGACAGGCAGAGCUGCCAGCUCCCCCAUGGAAGGCAGAAGACACAAAGCCCCAGGUGGAUAACCAGCAAGUGAGCUAUGUUGUGGACAGCCAACAUGUGAGAAGCAGGAAAAGGAAGCGGAAGGGAGCAGAGGGACUCUGUGAAGAAGUCAGCCUUCACCAGGUUGCACCCUGGCACAGCAGCUGCACCUCCAUUGACCACAGAGAACGUGAGACCAAGGCAGAAUCCCCAAGGAAAAAGAAAAGGAAGAAAAGAAAGCCUGAGGCACAGCAGGAAGAGGAAGAAAACAAACAUCCAAAAGACUCGAGGAGCACAAAGCCCAGUGUCCCCAUGGGCAUAGAGUUGAGUGUGAACAGCCAACUUGCUGGGGACCACCCAGGGCUUGGACAGGCUCCUCUUGGACCGUGGAACAGGGAGCGAGAAUCUGAUGUGGUCCAGGAGUUGCUCAAGUAUUCAUUGGAUAAGGCUUACGGGAGACAAGUUCUGACUUGGGAUGGAGAACUGUCUGCGGUCAGUCGGGAUGCUAUUGAGGACAGCAAAAUGGCCCAGACUCAGACAGUGGUUGAUGAUUGGGACGAAGAAUUUGAUCGUGGCAAGGAGAAGAAAAUGAAAAAAUUCAAGAGGGAAAAGAGGAGAAACUUCAAUGCCUUCCAGAAGCUUCAGAGUAGACGGAACUUUUGGUCUGUGACUCAUCCAGCCAAGGCCACCAGCCUUAGCUACCGCCGGUGAACGUGAUGUCAAAAUAGCCUCCUGGAGCCGUCACUUCCUGGGAACCAUUUGUCUGGAUCUGAGGAGUGGCCUCAUGCAGACUCAACUGCCUAUCACCUCAGGCUCUGCUGUGAGCCUGCCACGUGGAGGGCUGCAGCAUCACUGCAGACAACCUGCUGUGGAGGCCUUGGGGACAUUCACAACUAGCCCCAGAAGAAACCUCAGCAGGUGGUGUCCAGCAGAGCUGACCACAACCUGUGGGACAUUUGGAAGGGGCCAGCAUCCUUGUGGUCAUGGACAGUAGUCUGGGUGGGCAAAGUCAUCUGCUCCUGUCUGGGACUGACAGUGGGGACAGGACCGUGCAUUUCCCGGUGCAUCCUGUGCCCAGAAUGGCAGGCAUGCAGUUGGAGGCUCUUCCUAGUGAGCCGUCACUUACCUCCUCCUGAGCCUGGCACUGUCCUGUCCUGCACCCCGCCCCUUUUGUUCCCUCUACGGGACAUGUGUCUGUAUGCCUUACUAUCUGCCUUGGAAAGGGAAGAGCUGGUGCCCACCUGCACCACCGCCUCUGCCUUUCUGGGACUGGCAAGGUAGCACUUUCAGCGCAUCUCAGAAGCAAAGGCUGUUUGGGGUGGGGAACUCUUGAAUUAUGUGCCAAUGCAUCUGCUUCUCAGGCUGCUAUCUGUUCCAGGGUGACUUUGCCACAGCUUUCCUUGCAGCUGAAAUAACCUAUGGGUCUCUAUGGAGGUGGUGGUAUAGGGGAUGAAUUCUCCACUAUUUUACUACUUAAUACAAAGCAUUUAUUUUUAACCAGGCCUGUGGCUUCCCAGCAGCAAUAUAUUCCCCUAAUAAUAUGCAAAUACUGGCUUUGUGUGCUCAAUUUUGUGAGUGCUUUUGAAUCUAGAUGAUUGUAUGACUCAAGAAGAUCCCUUUUUUAUCUUGCUCAAGCUGUGCCUGCAGACUUAUAAUUUAAUAAACAUGAGACUCCUCAGUGAAAGUGGUGUAUCCAAGGAAAAGAUAACACCCCAUCAGUAGAAGGUGUACAAGUACAUCGGAGGUCUUUCCUCAUGAGAUUCAUCCCCUCAUCUCUCCUGGGCUGCCCAGGGCACGCGGGCAGGAGCCCAGCCCCCUGGCCUGGCUGUUGCCUUCGUCAGUGCAACCCUUCUUGUUUGCUCUGCUCUCAGCUCACGACUUUGCUCAGUCCUUGGGUACUGAGAGGAGUUGCAUCCUCAUAUAGUGAGGGAUGGCUGAGGUGGUUCUGUCAGUGGUUCUUUUAGGUUUUUCUCCCUUUGGUUUUUUACAUUAGGGGAAAGAGGGAGGGAAUGGUGACACCGUGGCCUGAUCACUUCUAGACAACAGUGGAUGGUAGCUUUGAAUGCUGCUCAGGAUAGGCCUGGCAUUAGCUCACAGGCAGCUCUGUGGGCAGGGCUUGCUUCUCCAUUAGAGGGUUUGACUCAGUCUUAUAUUAACUGUUUCCCUGGGCAUAUUUAUUCCAUGACGCUCUGUUGCUGAAAAUGUAAGUUGUCUGCUAGCACAGACUUGAUCUCCUUUGUGUCUCUGUCCCCUCCUCCAGUUGGCCUCGUCUUUUCUCCUAGGCUGAACGUUGUAGGACCAUUUAUUGGGGAAACCAACUCUGUAUUCUCUCUGGCAGUUGUAAAUCCUGGCCUGCUUUCCUGUAGUGUUUGUCACUGUGGGGUGGAGGCAGGUCCUUCCCUUCUGCAGAAAACCAUCAACCAGACAGGCAUGAAUACGAAUGCGCCCAGAUAACCAUCCACAUUGUAGGUGACAUGUACAUAUAUAAAUACAUAGAAAUACCUAAACUUUUGUAUAACAGCAGUCACUUGGUUGGGUUAGAACCUGAGAGUGGAGGUAGGGGACCCAUGUGUAGUAGACCACCUCCCCAGUGUUCCCUUCAUCUUGCACACCUUCCACUGUCAGGAGUCAUUCUCCCCCCAUGUCCUGGUUGUGUAGCUGCACCUAUAUGUGAAGGGUUCCCACCUUUUCCACUUCCUUUCCAAGGACCUUGGGAGCCCUGGUUGUUCCUAGAUCUUGGUGCAAUAAAAUGUGUCUUUGUGAGUC
Molecule: RNA transcript, 5729 nt
Organism: Octodon degus (degu)
Lineage: Eukaryota; Metazoa; Chordata; Mammalia; Rodentia; Octodontidae
Gene: Usp36
Gene name: ubiquitin specific peptidase 36
Exons: 22
Source: RefSeq, a predicted model, not a curated record